CGCCACACGACCCGGCAUAGCGGCAACAUGAUCACUUCUUCCGGUUUACCAAACACUCCGCUUCGCAAACGCCGUCCAGAGGGGACUUCUCACUCUUCCUCUGGCGAAUCAACAGGAACACAAAUCCCAACCCUCAAAACGGUUCCUGGGGCCCAGGCCAGACCUGGCAAGAAGGCCAAACUGAAUAAACCGGUUGAAGACCCCAAUCCAUCUGAUCCGGAAAGAACACCGGA
Molecule: non-coding RNA, 233 nt
Organism: Aegilops tauschii subsp. strangulata
Lineage: Eukaryota; Viridiplantae; Streptophyta; Magnoliopsida; Poales; Poaceae
Source: RefSeq, a predicted model, not a curated record